RNAcentral lists this ribosomal RNA (742 nucleotides) under uncultured bacterium. RNAcentral describes it as "bacterial SSU rRNA". It matches the Rfam family "Bacterial small subunit ribosomal RNA", at positions 8 to 796 of the family's 1533-position model. The record is from RNAcentral.
AGAGUUUGAUCAUGGCUCAGAACGAACGCUGGCGGCAGGCUUAACACAUGCAAGUCGAACGAUGUAGCAAUACAUAGUGGCGCACGGGUGAGUAACGCGUGGGAAUAUACCUUAUAGUGGGGAAUAACUUUGGGAAACUAAAGCUAAUACCGCAUACGCCCGAGAGGGGAAAGAUUUAUCGCUAUAAGAUUAGCCCGCGUGAGAUUAGGUAGUUGGUGGGGUAAUGGCCUACCAAGCCUACGAUCUCUAGCUGGUCUGAGAGGAUGAUCAGCCACACUGGAACUGAGACACGGUCCAGACUCCUACGGGAGGCAGCAGUGGGGAAUAUUGGGCAAUGGAGGAAACUCUGACCCAGCCAUGCCGCGUGAAUGAUGAAGGCCUUAGGGUUGUAAAGUUCUUUCGCCGAUGAAGAUAAUGACGGUAGUCGGAGAAGAAGCCCCGGCUAACUUCGUGCCAGCAGCCGCGGUAAUACGAAGGGGGCUAGCGUUGUUCGGAAUUACUGGGCGUAAAGCGAGCGUAGGUUGCUCGAUAAGUCAGUGGUGAAAGCCCAGAGCUCAACUCUGGAACUGCCAUUGAAACUGUCGAGCUGGAAUCUCAGAGGGGGUAGCGGAAUUCCAAAUGUAGGGGUGAAAUCCGUAGAUAUUUGGAGGAACACCGGUGGCGAAGGCGGCUACCUGGAUAAGUAUUGACACUGAGGCUCGAAAGCGUGGGGAUCAAACAGGAUUAGAUACCCUGGUAGUCC